This 2915-nucleotide ribosomal RNA is filed under the name Enterobacter cloacae. RNAcentral describes it as "bacterial LSU rRNA". It matches the Rfam family "Bacterial large subunit ribosomal RNA". The record is from RNAcentral. Lineage: Bacteria; Pseudomonadati; Pseudomonadota; Gammaproteobacteria; Enterobacterales; Enterobacteriaceae.
GGGUUGUGAGGUUAAGCGACUAAGCGUACACGGUGGAUGCCCUGGCAGUCAGAGGCGAUGAAGGACGUGCUAAUCUGCGAAAAGCGCCGGCGAGGUGAUAUGAACCCUUGACCCGGCGAUGUCCGAAUGGGGAAACCCAGUGUGUUCCGACACACUAUCGUUAACUGAAUACAUAGGUUAACGAGGCGAACCGGGGGAACUGAAACAUCUAAGUACCCCGAGGAAAAGAAAUCAACCGAGAUUCCCCCAGUAGCGGCGAGCGAACGGGGAGCAGCCCGGAGUCUGAAUCAGCUUGUGUGUUAGUGGAACGGUCUGGAAAGUCCGACGGUACAGGGUGAUAGUCCCGUACACGAAAAUGCACAUGCUGUGAACUCGAAGAGUAGGGCGGGACACGUGGUAUCCUGUCUGAAUAUGGGGGGACCAUCCUCCAAGGCUAAAUACUCCUGACUGACCGAUAGUGAACCAGUACCGUGAGGGAAAGGCGAAAAGAACCCCGGCGAGGGGAGUGAAAAAGAACCUGAAACCGUGUACGUACAAGCAGUGGGAGCACCUUCGGGUGUGACUGCGUACCUUUUGUAUAAUGGGUCAGCGACUUAUAUUCUGUAGCAAGGUUAACCGUAUAGGGGAGCCGAAGGGAAACCGAGUCUUAACUGGGCGUUAAGUUGCAGGGUAUAGACCCGAAACCCGGUGAUCUAGCCAUGGGCAGGUUGAAGGUUGGGUAACACUAACUGGAGGACCGAACCGACUAAUGUUGAAAAAUUAGCGGAUGACCUGUGGCUGGGGGUGAAAGGCCAAUCAAACCGGGAGAUAGCUGGUUCUCCCCGAAAGCUAUUUAGGUAGCGCCUCGUGAACUCAUCUUCGGGGGUAGAGCACUGUUUCGGCUAGGGGGCCAUCCCGGCUUACCAACCCGAUGCAAACUACGAAUACCGAAGAAUGUUAUCACGGGAGACACACGGCGGGUGCUAACGUCCGUCGUGAAGAGGGAAACAACCCAGACCGCCAGCUAAGGUCCCAAAGUCAUGGUUAAGUGGGAAACGAUGUGGGAAGGCACAGACAGCCAGGAUGUUGGCUUAGAAGCAGCCAUCAUUUAAAGAAAGCGUAAUAGCUCACUGGUCGAGUCGGCCUGCGCGGAAGAUGUAACGGGGCUAAACCAUGCACCGAAGCUGCGGCAGCGACGCUUAUGCGUUGUUGGGUAGGGGAGCGUUCUGUAAGCCGUUGAAGGUGUGCUGUGAGGCAUGCUGGAGGUAUCAGAAGUGCGAAUGCUGACAUAAGUAACGAUAAAGCGGGUGAAAAGCCCGCUCGCCGGAAGACCAAGGGUUCCUGUCCAACGUUAAUCGGGGCAGGGUGAGUCGACCCCUAAGGCGAGGCCGAAAGGCGUAGUCGAUGGGAAACAGGUUAAUAUUCCUGUACUUGGUGUUACUGCGAAGGGGGGACGGAGAAGGCUAUGUCAGCCGGGCGACGGUUGUCCCGGUUUAAGCAUGUAGGCGGAGGUUCCAGGUAAAUCCGGUACCUUGUUAACGCUGAGGUGUGAUGACGAGGCACUACGGUGCUGAAGUGAUAAAUGCCCUGCUUCCAGGAAAAGCCUCUAAGCAUCAGGUAACACGAAAUCGUACCCCAAACCGACACAGGUGGUCAGGUAGAGAAUACCAAGGCGCUUGAGAGAACUCGGGUGAAGGAACUAGGCAAAAUGGUGCCGUAACUUCGGGAGAAGGCACGCUGAUAUGUAGGUGAAGUCCCUGCGGACGGAGCUGAAAUCAGUCGAAGAUACCAGCUGGCUGCAACUGUUUAUUAAAAACACAGCACUGUGCAAACACGAAAGUGGACGUAUACGGUGUGACGCCUGCCCGGUGCCGGAAGGUUAAUUGAUGGGGUUAGCGGCAACGCGAAGCUCUUGAUCGAAGCCCCGGUAAACGGCGGCCGUAACUAUAACGGUCCUAAGGUAGCGAAAUUCCUUGUCGGGUAAGUUCCGACCUGCACGAAUGGCGUAAUGAUGGCCAGGCUGUCUCCACCCGAGACUCAGUGAAAUUGAACUCGCUGUGAAGAUGCAGUGUACCCGCGGCAAGACGGAAAGACCCCGUGAACCUUUACUAUAGCUUGACACUGAACACUGGUCCUUGAUGUGUAGGAUAGGUGGGAGGCUUUGAAGCGUGGACGCCAGUCUGCGUGGAGCCAUCCUUGAAAUACCACCCUUUAAUGGCUGGUGUUCUAACGUAGACCCGUAAUCCGGGUUGCGGACAGUGUCUGGUGGGUAGUUUGACUGGGGCGGUCUCCUCCCAAAGAGUAACGGAGGAGCACGAAGGUUGGCUAAUCCUGGUCGGACAUCAGGAGGUUAGUGCAAUGGCAUAAGCCAGCUUGACUGCGAGCGUGACGGCGCGAGCAGGUGCGAAAGCAGGUCAUAGUGAUCCGGUGGUUCUGAAUGGAAGGGCCAUCGCUCAACGGAUAAAAGGUACUCCGGGGAUAACAGGCUGAUACCGCCCAAGAGUUCAUAUCGACGGCGGUGUUUGGCACCUCGAUGUCGGCUCAUCACAUCCUGGGGCUGAAGUAGGUCCCAAGGGUAUGGCUGUUCGCCAUUUAAAGUGGUACGCGAGCUGGGUUUAGAACGUCGUGAGACAGUUCGGUCCCUAUCUGCCGUGGGCGCUGGAGAAUUGAGGGGGGCUGCUCCUAGUACGAGAGGACCGGAGUGGACGCAUCACUGGUGUUCGGGUUGUCAUGCCAAUGGCACUGCCCGGUAGCUAAAUGCGGAAGAGAUAAGUGCUGAAAGCAUCUAAGCACGAAACUUGCCCCGAGAUGAGUUCUCCCUGAGACCUUGAGUCUCCUGAAGGAACGUUGAAGACGACGACGUUGAUAGGUCGGGUGUGUAAGCGCAGCGAUGCGUUGAGCUAACCGAUACUAAUGAACCGUGAGGCUUAACCUUA